Molecule: ribosomal RNA, 375 nt
Filed under: uncultured bacterium
Lineage: Bacteria
Description: bacterial SSU rRNA
Rfam family: Bacterial small subunit ribosomal RNA
Source: RNAcentral
AACGAACGCUGGCGGCAGGCCUAACACAUGCAAGUCGAACGGACACAUAAAAGCUUGCUUUUAUGAGGUUAGUGGCAAACGGGUGAGUAAUGCAUGGGAAUCUACCUUAUAGUGAGGAAUAACGUUUGGAAACAGACGCUAAUACCUCAUAAUCCCGAGAGGGCAAAGAUUUAUCGCUAUAAGAUGAGCCCAUGUCAGAUUAGCUAGUUGGUGAGGUAAUGGCUUACCAAGGCUGUGAUCUGUAGCUGGUCUGAGAGGAUGAUCAGCCACACUGGGACUGAGACACGGCCCAGACUCCUACGGGAGGCAGCAGUGAGGAAUAUUGGACAAUGGGCGAAAGCCUGAUCCAGCCAUGCCGCGUGAGUGAAGAAGGCC